UUUAUCUGGUAAAGCGAAUGACUAGAGGCCUUGGGGCCGAAACGAUCUCAACCUAUUCUCAAACUUUAAAUGGGUAAGAAACCCNGCUCGCUGGCUUGGAGCCGGGCGUGGAAUGCGAGCCGCCUAGUGGGCCACUUUUGGUAAGCAGAACUGGCGCUGCGGGAUGAACCGAACGCCGGGUUAAGGCGCCCGAUGCCGACGCUCAUCAGACCCCAGAAAAGGUGUUGGUCGAUAUAGACAGCAGGACGGUGGCCAUG
Molecule: ribosomal RNA, 257 nt
Filed under: Petrotyx sanguineus (redfin brotula)
Lineage: Eukaryota; Metazoa; Chordata; Actinopteri; Ophidiiformes; Ophidiidae
Description: partial 28S ribosomal RNA
Rfam family: Eukaryotic large subunit ribosomal RNA
Source: RNAcentral